This is a long non-coding RNA of Ostrea edulis (European flat oyster), 729 nucleotides long. RefSeq lists it as uncharacterized. The transcript has 2 exons. Lineage: Eukaryota; Metazoa; Mollusca; Bivalvia; Ostreida; Ostreidae. The record is from RefSeq and is a predicted model, not a curated record.
UUUGGUGCACACAAGCAUGAACGUCGCUUUAUGCUUUUUUCUCGGCAGGCUGCAACUUUCUUCCUAGUGUGUAGUAAGUUCUUCAUUACCGUCUUCCUUGGAAGACGGUAUACAGAGUUUAAGUGUUUUACAGUCUUCGGACUUUGCACUUCCUCUCUUUUUUCAUUGGUAGAAAGUGCAUGAAGUGAAAAUUUUCAAUUAUUUCAUUGGUUGAAAUGCUCUUCAAUGCAAGGGAGAUAAUUUUCUGGUGUUCUAAUUUUCGCACGACUUAACAAUUUUUCAAGAUUUUCAAUCUUUAAAAAAAUCGACAAAACGAACAAAAGAAAACUGCAAUUCAUGAAAUUGACACAUUACUUUUUUAAAAGCAACUAAUACAAAGCAUUUCUAUGGUUACUUCAUUUACAGCAAUGUUUUCAUUGUUGCAUACAAACAGAAAAACUCGCCUUUUUUAAAAAGCUUUACUUGUUUACAUUUUACUGAUGAACCAUUUUGUUUUAAAAAUAUUUACCAAGCUACUGUCUACAAGUAUGGCUGAUUUAAGAUACCCACAUGAUGAAAGUUCAAAAUAAUUGAAAACAUAAAUAUACAUUUCAAUACAUAAAAUAUUUAUUGCAUGAAACAAUCUGCAUGUUAAUCUACUCUAUGGAAAUCAAUGCCAGUGUAUCGUCUUACAAACAUCUAUUAUUUGAUUGUAGUCUGGUGAUACGCGAUGUGUAACGAAACCUAAAA